RNAcentral lists this ribosomal RNA (879 nucleotides) under Listeria monocytogenes. Its description in RNAcentral is "partial 23S ribosomal RNA". It matches the Rfam family "Bacterial large subunit ribosomal RNA", at positions 683 to 1558 of the family's 2925-position model. Lineage: Bacteria; Bacillati; Bacillota; Bacilli; Caryophanales; Listeriaceae. The record is from RNAcentral.
CUGAAUAGGGCGCAUAAGUAACAGGUCGUAGACCCGAAACCAGGUGAUCUACCCAUGUCCAGGAUGAAGGUAAGGUAAUACUUACUGGAGGUCCGAACCCACGCACGUUGAAAAGUGCGGGGAUGAGGUGUGGGUAGCGGAGAAAUUCCAAUCGAACUUGGAGAUAGCUGGUUCUCUCCGAAAUAGCUUUAGGGCUAGCCUCGAGGUAAAGAGUCAUGGAGGUAGAGCACUGUUUGGACUAGGGGCCCUUCUCGGGUUACCGAAUUCAGAUAAACUCCGAAUGCCAUGUACUUAUACUCGGGAGUCAGACUGCGAGUGAUAAGAUCCGUAGUCGAAAGGGAAACAGCCCAGACCACCAGUUAAGGUCCCCAAAUAUAUGUUAAGUGGAAAAGGAUGUGGGGUUGCUUAGACAACCAGGAUGUUGGCUUAGAAGCAGCCACCAUUGAAAGAGUGCGUAAUAGCUCACUGGUCGAGUGACCCCGCGCCGAAAAUGUACCGGGGCUAAACAUAUUACCGAAACUGUGGAUGAACCUCUUUAGAGGUUCGUGGUAGGAGAGCGUUCUAAGGGCGGUGAAGUCAGACCGGAAGGACUGGUGGAGCGCUUAGAAGUGAGAAUGCCGGUAUGAGUAGCGAAAGAAGGGUGAGAAUCCCUUCCACCGAAUAUCUAAGGUUUCCUGAGGAAGGCUCGUCCGCUCAGGGUUAGUCGGGACCUAAGCCGAGGCCGAUAGGCGUAGGCGAUGGACAACAGGUAGAGAUUCCUGUACCAGUGCUAAUUGUUUAACCGAUGGGGUGACACAGAAGGAUAGGGAAUCGCACGAAUGGAAAUGUGCGUCCAAGCAGUGAGUGUGAGAAGUAGGCAAAUCCGCUUCUCGCGAAGCA